This 497-nucleotide ribosomal RNA is filed under the name uncultured bacterium. Its description in RNAcentral is "partial 16S ribosomal RNA". It matches the Rfam family "Bacterial small subunit ribosomal RNA", at positions 28 to 507 of the family's 1533-position model. The record is from RNAcentral.
GAUGAACGCUGGCGGCGUGCCUAAUACAUGCAAGUCGAGCGAACAGACGAGGAGCUUGCUCCUCUGACGUUAGCGGCGGACGGGUGAGUAACACGUGGAUAACCUACCUAUAAGACUGGGAUAACUUCGGGAAACCGGAGCUAAUACCGGAUAAUAUAUUGAACCGCAUGGUUCAAUAGUGAAAGACGGUUUUGCUGUCACUUAUAGAUGGAUCCGCGCCGCAUUAGCUAGUUGGUAAGGUAACGGCUUACCAAGGCAACGAUGCGUAGCCGACCUGAGAGGGUGAUCGGCCACACUGGAACUGAGACACGGUCCAGAGUCCUACGGGAGGCAGCAGUCGGGAAUCUUCCGCAAUGGGCGAAAGCCUGACGGAGCAACGCCGCGUGAGUGAUGACGGUCUUCGGAUCGGAAAACUCUGUUAUUAGGGAAGAACAAAUGUCUAAGUAACUAUGCACGUCUUGACGGUACCUAAUCAGAAAGCCACGGCUAACUACGUG